UACGAAGGGGGCUAGCGUUGCUCGGAAUCACUGGGCGUAAAGGGCGCGUAGGCGGCCAUUCAAGUCAGGGGUGAAAGCCUGUGGCUCAACCACAGAAUUGCCUUUGAUACUGUUUGGCUAGAGACCGGAAGAGGUAAGUGGAACUGCGAGUGUAGAGGUGAAAUGCGUAGAGAUCAGGAAGAACAUCGGUGGCGAAGGCGCUCUGCUGGACCAUAACUGACACUCAGGGACGAAAGCUAGGGGAGCGAAUGGG
RNAcentral lists this ribosomal RNA (253 nucleotides) under uncultured bacterium. RNAcentral's name for it is "partial 16S ribosomal RNA". It matches the Rfam family "Bacterial small subunit ribosomal RNA", at positions 524 to 776 of the family's 1533-position model. The record is from RNAcentral.